AAUGGAUCACGUAUCUGACCUUUCUUCUCCUGAAAAAGUGGAUCCCAGCAGAUUUGUGCCCAACCUCGGUGGUCCUCAUAAACUGUUGUCCAACAAACAGAGGAUGAAUGAGAGCAUGGAUGUGAAAGAGGUAACAAAUAAAACUGUGGAGAUUGAGGUUCCAGAACAAAAGAUGUGUCUUGUAUAUGGCCUCGAAGGUUCCAGUCUCACCAUAUUGAAAGAGAGCUCAGGCGCUCAGAUCACAGUGCAAGAUCCACAUCCUGGAGAAAACAGUGGAAAGGUGAUUAUAUCAGGCACACCGGAACAAGUACAAGUCGCAAAGUGCCUUCUUCAAGCCUUCAUCUAUGUUAAACCAUAAAAACUACUACUUCAAUACCAGCUCCACCAAAUUGAAUGCAUUCUAGUUACUCUCAACAAUCUUGCCAAGAAGUAUCCCUUUCCAAACAGUUCAUAGCUGUCAUACAUUCACUGACCUGCAAGUACAUGUACAACAUCUCAAUAUGGAUAAGCCCUGUAAACAGUGUAUACUUGUUUUGGGGGUCUAUUAAUCUUAGAUGUUACCCCACUGUGAUCUCUGUCUCACACCAGAAGUUUUUACUGCUCGUGUCCCAGUUUUGUUGACUUUAGCUUUUAGGAUGCAUUGAGCACUUAGAAUUACAUUUCAAAGAAAUUAUAUAGCCAAUAUCUGUAAACAGGGCACACUAUUUGUUUUGAUGGUUCUUUUCUGGAUAACUGUCCAUAUACCAGAGUUUCAUAUCAUUAAAGGAAUGGAUCCUCUGCUGAAUUAUUCUAUUCUGCAAUCAAUCUCUUAUGAUCCCAAUUCACUUUUUUUCCGGCUUUGGUUCUUCAUACUUUGUGAAUGACU
Molecule: long non-coding RNA, 865 nt
Organism: Ipomoea triloba (trilobed morning glory)
Lineage: Eukaryota; Viridiplantae; Streptophyta; Magnoliopsida; Solanales; Convolvulaceae
Exons: 3
Source: RefSeq, a predicted model, not a curated record